UUAAAUUUAAAAAAUUAAUAUUUAAAUUUAAUUUAGUUUUAUAAAUUUUUAAAAUAUUAAUAAAGGUUUAUUAAUUUAGAAUUUAGUCUAUUAAGAGAAAAAAUUUUUUGAUUUAUAGUUUAUUAGUAAAGAAAUUGAAAUUUGAAAUAUUUAAAAUAAUUUAAAUUGAUAAAAGUAAGUUUAAUUUAUUGUAUCUUGGGUAUCAGAGUUUAAAAAUUAAUUAUUUUAAUAAAAAAUUUUUCGAAAAAAAUUAAGAGAUAAAAAUUAUUUUAUUUAAAUGUUAUAAAAUUUUUUAAAAAUAAUUUUUUGAAAUGAAAAGUUAUUCGAUUUUUUUUAUAUCUAAUUUUAAAAGAAAUAAAUUUAAUUUAGAUUUUAUUUAAUAAAAUAAAAUUUUGUUUUUAUUCAAAAUUAAAAUAUUAAAUAAAAUUUAAUAUAUUUAGGGAUAAGCUUAAGUAUAAAGAUUUACAUUAUAAUAAUAAUAAUUGAUAUUUAAUAUAAAAUAAUAAAUUUAAAAUUUUUUAUUUAAAAUAAAGUUUUUAAUAAAAUAAUUUAUAUGCAAUUAAAAAAUUUAUAAUUUAAUAAUUAAAUAUUUAUUUUAAAAAAUUCAUUUUUUUUAUAUGAAUUGAUUUAAUGUUAAAAUUAGUAUAAAUGAUAUAAAUAAAUUUAAAAAUUAUUUAAAAAUUUUAAUUAAAGAAUUAGGCAAUUUAUUAAUUUAAUUAUUAUUUAUUUCACCUGUUUAACAAAAACAUGUCUUUUUGUUUUAAUUUUAAAGUCUAAUCUGCCCAUUGAAUUAAUAAAUUUAAAAGGCUGCAGUAUUUUAACUGUACAAAGGUAGCAUAAUAAAUUGUUUUUUGAUUAAAAACUAGAAUGAAUGAUUGGAUGAAAAUAAAACUUUUUAAAUUAAAUAUUUUAAAAUUUAUUUUUUUUGUUAAAAAACAAAAAUAUUUGUAAUAGACGAGAAGACCCUUUAGAUUUUAAUUAAAUUUAAAUUUAUUAAAAAAAUAAUUUUAAAUUUAAUUUGAUUGGGGUGAUUAAUAAAUUUAUUUAACUUUAAUUUGUAUAAAAAACUUAAAUUUAAGAUUUUUAAAGAUUUAAUUUUAUGGAUUAUAAGAAUAAAUUACCUAAGGGAUAACAGCGUUAUUUUAAUUUUAAGAUCUUAUUGAAAUUAAAUUUUGCGACCUCGAUGUUGGAUUAAGAGUAAUUAAAAGAGAAGAAGAUUUUAAUUAUGAGUCUGUUCGACUUUUGGAAUCUUACAUGAUCUGAGUUCAAACCGGUGUGAGCCAGGUUGGUUUCUAUCUUUAUUUAAAAAUAAAAAUUUUAGUACGAAAGGAUUAAAUUUUUAGAAUAAAAAAUUUUAUUGAGUUUUAAUAAAAAAAAAAAUUGAUUAAAAAAUAAGUUUGAAAGAAGAUUAAAAAUUUAAGAUUAUUGAA
This 1430-nucleotide ribosomal RNA is filed under the name Hydromanicus wulaianus. Its description in RNAcentral is "16S ribosomal RNA". The record is from RNAcentral. Lineage: Eukaryota; Metazoa; Arthropoda; Insecta; Trichoptera; Hydropsychidae.